This 535-nucleotide ribosomal RNA is filed under the name Myrmecophilus sp. MCJ-2002. Its description in RNAcentral is "bacterial SSU rRNA". It matches the Rfam family "Eukaryotic small subunit ribosomal RNA", at positions 26 to 554 of the family's 1831-position model. Lineage: Eukaryota; Metazoa; Arthropoda; Insecta; Orthoptera; Myrmecophilidae. The record is from RNAcentral.
AUAUGCUUGUCUCAAAGAUUAAGCCAUGCAUGUCUCAGUGCAAGCCGCACUAAGGUGAAACCGCGAAUGGCUCAUUAAAUCAGUUAUGGUUCCUUGGACCUGACGUUCUACUUGGAUAACUGUGGUAAUUCUAGAGCUAAUACAUGCAUCUCAGUCCCGACCAGAAAUGGAAGGGACGCUUUUAUUAGAUCAAAACCAAUCGGCUUCGGCCGUCCGCUUUUGGUGACUCUGAAUAACUUUGAGCUGAUCGCACGGUCUCCGCACCGGCGACGCACCCUUCAAAUGUCUGACUUAUCAACUGACGAUGGUAGGCUCUGCGCCUACCAUGGUUGUAACGGGUGACGGGGAAUCAGGGUUCGAUUCCGGAGAGGGAGCCUGAGAAACGGCUACCACAUCCAAGGAAGGCAGCAGGCGCGCAAAUUACCCACUCCCGGCACGGGGAGGUAGUGACGAAAAAUAACGAUACGGGACUCAUCCGAGGCCCCGUAAUCGGAAUGAGUACACUUUAAAUCCUUUAACAAUUAGCCAUUGGAGG